GAUGAACGCUAGCUACAGGCUUAACACAUGCAAGUCGAGGGGAAACGAUAUUGGAAGCUUGCUUCCGAUAGGCGUCGACCGGCGCACGGGUGAAUAACGCGUAUCCAACCUGCCAAUCACUUGGGGAUAACCUUGCGAAAGUAAGACUAAUACCCAAUGAUAUCUCUAGAAGACAUCUGAAGGAGAUUAAAGAUUCAUCGGUGAUGGAUGGGGAUGCGUCUGAUUAGCUUGUUGGCGGGGUAACGGCCCACCAAGGCGACGAUCAGUAGGGGUUCUGAGAGGAAGGUCCCCCACAUUGGAACUGAGACACGGUCCAAACUCCUACGGGAGGCAGCAGUGAGGAAUAUUGGUCAAUGGACGAGAGUCUGAACCAGCCAAGUAGCGUGCAGGAUGACGGCCCUAUGGGUUGUAAACUGCUUUUAUAAGGGAAUAAAGUGAGUCUCGUGAGACUUUUUGCAUGUACCUUAUGAAUAAGGACCGGCUAAUUCCGUGCCAGCAGCCGCCGCAG
This 508-nucleotide ribosomal RNA is filed under the name uncultured bacterium. RNAcentral describes it as "partial 16S ribosomal RNA". It matches the Rfam family "Bacterial small subunit ribosomal RNA", at positions 28 to 523 of the family's 1533-position model. The record is from RNAcentral.